CCUACGGGAGGCAGCAGUGGGGAAUAUUGCACAAUGGGGGAAACCCUGAUGCAGCGACGCCGCGUGAGUGAAGCAGUAUUUCGGUACGUAAAGCUCUAUCAGCAGGGAAGAAAAUGACGGUACCUGACUAAGAAGCCCCGGCUAAAUACGUGCCAGCAGCCGCGGUAAUACGUAGGGGGCAAGCGUUAUCCGGAUUUACUGGGUGUAAAGGGAGCGUAGACGGCAGCGCAAGUCUGGAGUGAAAUCCCAUGGCUUAACCAUGGAACUGCUUUGGAAACUGUGCAGCUAGAGUGCAGGAGAGGUAAGCGGAAUUCCUAGUGUAGCGGUGAAAUGCGUAGAUAUUAGGAGGAACACCAGUGGCGAAGGCGGCUUACUGGACUGUAACUGACGUUGAGGCUCGAAAGCGUGGGGAGCAAACAGGAUUAGAUACCCUAGUAGUC
RNAcentral lists this ribosomal RNA (440 nucleotides) under uncultured bacterium. RNAcentral describes it as "partial 16S ribosomal RNA". It matches the Rfam family "Bacterial small subunit ribosomal RNA", at positions 338 to 795 of the family's 1533-position model. The record is from RNAcentral.